RNAcentral lists this long non-coding RNA (510 nucleotides) under Ananas comosus (pineapple). RNAcentral describes it as "long non-coding RNA (ACOM_LNC023309)". Lineage: Eukaryota; Viridiplantae; Streptophyta; Magnoliopsida; Poales; Bromeliaceae. The record is from RNAcentral.
UUUUCUUUUGGGGCCUAGUGGUGCAUUGAGCUGAGGUCAGUAAUUGCCCACUGGGAACUAUCAAUUAUAGUUCUCACGCCCUCUUUUCUCGAUGUUUUUCAGAGCCUUCCACUCAGGGUGAGGCCAGGGAUCGCGGAAAGGGUAUCGCCUCGGGCUAGCGCGCUUACCGGGGGAUCGUUUGAUAGGUGGUCUACCUCUCGUGUUUUCUUUUUGUGAGAGGUUAAGAGUUGUACCCGUAUAUGUAUAGAGACCACCAUUUUUGUACUAGAGACAGUAUUGUACUACUUAUGGUUACCUUUGUUUGACUAGCUUGAUUUCUUUACCUUGGUAUAGAUGAUAGAACUUUACUUGCUCUGAUAUCAUUAGUUGCUAGUUAUUUCAUUUCUUAUAUUUGUUCUAUCUCUUGCUUUUACUUCCGCUUUUGUUGUAGACGCCUUAUAUGUGUAGACAUAUGGCGGGUCUGGGCACGCUACCGGGAGGGCCUCCGCCGGUCCCGGGGCGUGACAAAAC